GUGCGCUUGCGGAUCAUUUCCUUAUUGCGUUACCAAAUAUCAACAAGCAUUUCUGGCGCCGUUGCCGGGGAGAAAGACGGUUUGCUGAGAUAACUUUGAGUCUUGUUAUUAUCUUGUAUUAUACUUUUAUACUUUUAUUCUUUUAUCUUUUUAUUUUUAUCUUUAUGGAUAACUUAAAUUCCAUACCUAUUAUUAAAUUCUUUGCACCUUCGGAGACCAGCCAUAGACCAUGGGAGUC
Molecule: long non-coding RNA, 238 nt
Filed under: Sorghum bicolor (sorghum)
Lineage: Eukaryota; Viridiplantae; Streptophyta; Magnoliopsida; Poales; Poaceae
Description: long non-coding RNA (SBIC_LNC010482)
Source: RNAcentral